RNAcentral lists this long non-coding RNA (721 nucleotides) under Cricetulus griseus (Chinese hamster). Its description in RNAcentral is "lncRNA (ENSCGRG00015040639.1)". Lineage: Eukaryota; Metazoa; Chordata; Mammalia; Rodentia; Cricetidae. The record is from RNAcentral.
GGGCUUUCGUACAGACUGCUGCCACGCCAGCUGGCUAGGUCGCUCUAUCUCAACUUGCAGUAACUAUGUUUGACCAGCAGGAGGCAUGUGUGUACCGCCAAGCAGAGUCCAGCUGCCGGGAUGGUCCCCUGGUCCCAAAUUGAUUCUGUGAAUUCUAAAUGGCUCUCAAACAAGUUUAGAACAGUGUGACUGAUGCCCAUUGGACCUGAUCCUGUGGCCAACUUGCGCCCUGUCCAGAUGAUAUCACACCGGAAAGAGCAGAGGAUGGCGCAACCAAACCACCUAGCUUCAGGGAUGAGGUCGGCAGAAGAUGAGGGCACAGGAGGACCGCCGGCCAGGCACACCCCUCACACUGAAUCGCCAAGGAAGUGCCAAGCUAGAAUCUCCAGAAUUAUCCCUCUCAGAAACGUGGCGCUCAAAGAGGCAAGCUCUUGGGCAACACCAUCUGGGCCACUGCAUGGAGAACCAUGUGUGUGUGUGGGGGGGGACCAGGGUGUGAGGUCACAGAUCUUUCCUGAAAUUAGAUGACAUAGGUAGGACAGGAAGGGAACCAGCAUACACUAAGGCUUCUGGAUGUGUCCCAGGAUCUCGGGUUACACCAGGGUCACCAGGUGUCCUUGUCACACUCAGCCCUGAGUUCUGCACAGUGAGCCAGGCAGAGAAAGAGCCACAGUAAGAUCUGGCUGUAUUGACAGGUAAGAGAGAAAAGCUCAUCAUUGCC